Molecule: long non-coding RNA, 1025 nt
Organism: Lycium barbarum (goji berry)
Lineage: Eukaryota; Viridiplantae; Streptophyta; Magnoliopsida; Solanales; Solanaceae
Exons: 2
Source: RefSeq, a predicted model, not a curated record
CAAGCCCUGUCCAUUUCCCUUUCCCUCUUCCCUUUGAUACCCCAGCCGCCAUGGCCCCGUGGUUUUAAUCUCUCUACGUCAUUGUCCCAAUUUGGUAAUGGCGCAGUAUGAUUUUACUCUUAUACAGUGUUGUUCGACCAUUUUGAGGUAACAAAAUUAAUGUAUUACUCUCUCCCCGUCGAUACACUACCAAAACAAAGUAUUAUCACGAUUUUCUCUUGCUUUUUUGUGUUGUUCAAAUGGUCAACUCUAUUCAAACCUUAAUGGGUUUUGUUUGUAUUGGUUAGAAAUCAUGAAAUUUGAUUGGUUCUUGCGCGAACCCUACGGAUUAGUCUUAUUGUCAAAAUCUGGCCUUUGGUGUUUUAUUCGAUGUAAUGCCGACACUACAAUAUCGAAUUGUGAGGAGAAAAUCCCAUUUUUGGGAUUUAUCCCAUAUCUUUGAAUCUAGGGUUUGGGGAUUGCUAUCUAAUGAGUCUCCUAUUUGCAUUUUUUGGAAGAGGAGGUGAAUCUGAGAUUUUACUUGGUAUUGCCUAUAACUCGAAAAAACAUAAGGUUUCAAACAUCUAUUGAGACUUCUAAAUUUUUCUGAGUGAAGUUAGUUUUAAAUUUUUUUGUAUCUUUCUUUGUUCUUUGGGGUUUGUGGCUGAGUAAGAGAGGAAGGAUUAUAAAAACUCCAAGUCUAACACUCUACUAAGGAUGCAUUCAAAAGAGGCCCUUCUGGCCAUCUCUUGCAUCAAGAUUGUUGUGUCUAAGGUCCAACAUUUCUCUCUUUGAUUGAGUCCGCUAAAGAAUGGAAAGAGAAGCAAAUAUCCGUGUUAGAAGACCUAGCCAAUUGGUGAAAAUGACAUUAAUGGGCUAGCUUUUGUUUUUCUCCUCUCUAUUUUAUAUGUACUUGGGAUGUAUAUAUGUUGUAUAUGUACUAAACAUGUAAAUAAUGAAAUGCUCAUGCAUAGGACUUAGGAAACGCAUAGUAUUUUUGGAAUGUCGCCUCAAACAUCUUUAAACUUAAUCAUUUUUUUUGAAAA